GACCUAGUGGUGAAAUGAAUCAUACCUGCACCCUAUAUGCUGAGAUGCAGAAAUAGUUAGCAGGAGUCCCCGGUUCGAAUCCCGGCUGGAUCA
Molecule: non-coding RNA, 93 nt
Organism: Mycena rosella
Lineage: Eukaryota; Fungi; Basidiomycota; Agaricomycetes; Agaricales; Mycenaceae
Source: the annotation of a GenBank genome assembly